Molecule: small nuclear RNA, 107 nt
Filed under: Spermophilus dauricus (Daurian ground squirrel)
Lineage: Eukaryota; Metazoa; Chordata; Mammalia; Rodentia; Sciuridae
Source: RNAcentral
GUGCUUGCUUUGGCAGCACAAACACUAAAAUUGGAAUGAUACAGAGAAUAUUAGCAUGGCCCCUGUACAAGGAUGAAGUGCAAAUUUGUGAAGUGUUCCAUAUUAUU